AGCAGUUCUGCUUGUUUUGUUUGUCUAACUUGUGAAUAAUGCCUUAUACAUGGUUGCAAAAAAUAAAUCCUCUUUUGCAACCUAGAACUCAUUGCUCAGUAUGAGUUUUGACAUAUAAGAGCAAGUAUCCU
Molecule: small nucleolar RNA, 131 nt
Organism: Tupaia belangeri (northern tree shrew)
Lineage: Eukaryota; Metazoa; Chordata; Mammalia; Scandentia; Tupaiidae
Source: Ensembl